This 70-nucleotide transfer RNA is filed under the name Pheidole megacephala. RNAcentral describes it as "tRNA-Asp". Lineage: Eukaryota; Metazoa; Arthropoda; Insecta; Hymenoptera; Formicidae. The record is from RNAcentral.
AAAGAAUUAGUUAAACUUUAUAACAUUAAAAUGUCAAUUUAAAAUUAUUAUAUGCCAGUAAUAUUCUUUU